UAAGUAAGCGGAGGAAAAGAAACUAAAUAGGAUUCCCUUAGUAAUGGCGAAUGAACUGGGAUGAGCUCACCAUGGAAAUCGGGGUCCUCGACCUUGAAUUGUAGUCUUGAGAUGCACUGCCAACAAAGGCGCAGGUGUAAGCCUCUUGGAAGAGAGCAUCGCAGAGGGUGAGAGUCCCGUCUGUCACCUGCAGUCCCUUGUGCACGGCAUGCGUUCUGAGAGUCACGUUCCUCGGGAUUGGAGCGCAAAUUGGGUGGUAAGUUUCACCUUAAGCUAAAUAUUGGUCCGAGACCGAUAGCAAACAAGUACCAUGAGGGAAAGGUGAAAAGGACUUUGAAAAGAGAGUUAAAAGUGCUUGAAAUUGCUGAAAGGGAAGCGAAUGGAACCAGUUCUGCUGGGCGAGAUUGUCGCAUGUCAAAGCUUCGUGCUGGCCGCAUGCGGUGCUUCUUGCCUUGUGUGUCAGCUGCGGUCCGAGGUUGGGGAAAACUCUGGGGACAUGGAUGCCAACCUCCGGGGGGUGAAUGUGCCUGGCAAGACCCGCCCUCGGACCGUGAGCAGUGCUCCGGCAUGUUUGCGGUGCUGACGAAAUGCUUCUAUUCGACCCG
This 605-nucleotide ribosomal RNA is filed under the name Akashiwo sanguinea. Its description in RNAcentral is "partial large subunit ribosomal RNA". It matches the Rfam family "Eukaryotic large subunit ribosomal RNA", at positions 43 to 651 of the family's 3401-position model. The record is from RNAcentral. Lineage: Eukaryota; Dinophyceae; Gymnodiniales; Gymnodiniaceae.